Molecule: long non-coding RNA, 228 nt
Filed under: Elaeis guineensis (African oil palm)
Lineage: Eukaryota; Viridiplantae; Streptophyta; Magnoliopsida; Arecales; Arecaceae
Description: long non-coding RNA (EGUI_LNC062948)
Source: RNAcentral
AGGAUAAAUAAUUUAUGAUUUUAUUGAUAAAAUUAAUAUGAUUUAUAAAUUUAUGAUUGAUGGUAAAAUGAUAUUAGAAACUAUGUUUAUGAAAAUUGCAUGAUUUAUGCAUAUGUAAGAGUAUGAUUUAUUUAUGAUAUACUAUUAUGAAAGUUUUAUAUUCCAAUGAUCAUCAUCUUCUUUAAAUGAUUUAUUGAUACAUAUAUAAACUUAUGCUCGAUCUAGAUA